UUUUUUCCCUUCCCACGAAUAAAAAUCGAGAGUUCAAAGAUUAACGAUUCAUAUCAAUUAAUGGUUUGAUAUCCGAAAAUCACGAGCACAGAAAUGGCGACUUCACUGGGGACUUAAAUUCUACGCGGGUUAAACCCACCUUACUUUAUUUAUUUUGUGCUGUACUAUUUGCUUAUGCUUUGUAAAUAUUUUGCUUACAUACCUUGUUACAUGAGUGGUGAGAUAAGUCCUACACCCGGGCUUGAGUGAAACAUAAGAUAGGACGGAGUACGAUCAUAGUGCCAUACCAGGAGCGGUCCUGCGAUAUGUGUACACAUGAUGUAACUCCACUCAACGUAGGUCUUUCAAAAGUAAUAAUAUGUCGUCAUGAGCAGUCGUGAUUGGCGUUAUUAUUUUUGAAGUCCGCUAAACGUUGAGGACCUUUAGAUCACCCUUAACACAUCUUGGCCUUUUUUAGGACGUAGUGCGGUGGCUAAACCAAGAGCAGUCUUGACUUUGGUCGACACGCGAUACUACACUCAAACUAGACUUACUUAUGGAUGUUAUUGGACUAGGAGCGGUCCUAUACACCGAUAUGUUCAUAAGGGAAGUUGUAAUUUGGGAACUUGGUAGAACCCGUGAUACAGGUACAAUUUGAAACCAUAGUCCUUACCAAAUGAUGUUGUUACCCUUGACUCCAACAUUGUGGAACUUAAACAUCCUCAUGUAUUCAAUGUACUUUAUUAUAACCAUGCAUACAUGCAUUCAUUAAUAAAUAUAUUUUUCCAUCAAAAAUUGAAGGACUUAGACAAGUUUUUUGCAAACAUUAUGGAUAU
This 815-nucleotide long non-coding RNA is filed under the name Medicago truncatula (barrel medic). RNAcentral's name for it is "lncRNA gene16466". Lineage: Eukaryota; Viridiplantae; Streptophyta; Magnoliopsida; Fabales; Fabaceae. The record is from RNAcentral.